RNAcentral lists this ribosomal RNA (253 nucleotides) under uncultured bacterium. RNAcentral describes it as "partial 16S ribosomal RNA". It matches the Rfam family "Bacterial small subunit ribosomal RNA", at positions 524 to 776 of the family's 1533-position model. The record is from RNAcentral.
UACGUAGGCAGCAAGCGUUGUUCGGAGUUACUGGGCGUAAAGAGUGCGUAGGCGGUUCCGUAAGUUUGAUGUGAAAUCUCCCGGCUUAACUGGGAGGGUGCGUCGAAGACUGCGGAGCUGGAGUAUGGGAGAGGUAGGCGGAAUUCCUGGUGUAGCGGUGAAAUGCGUAGAUAUCAGGAGGAACACCGGUGGCGUAGACGGCUUACUGGACCAUGACUGACGCUGAGGCACGAAAGCGUGGGGAGCAAACAGG